Molecule: long non-coding RNA, 1094 nt
Filed under: Mus musculus (house mouse)
Lineage: Eukaryota; Metazoa; Chordata; Mammalia; Rodentia; Muridae
Description: long non-coding RNA chr2:164120331-164121425
Source: RNAcentral
UCGAGACAGGGUUUCUCUGGCUGUCCUGGAACUUACUCUGUAGGCCAGGCUGGCCUCGAACUCAGAAAUCCGCCUGCCUCUGCCUCCCAAGUGCUGGGAUUACUGGCAUGUGCCACCACUGCCCAGCCUAGAAUUCUAUUUUUAGAAAAGAUAUUUUUUAUGUGUGGAUCGGUGUGAGUAUGUGCACAUGAAUACAGUGCCUACAGAGACCAGAACAUGAGAUGUCCUGGAAUUGGAAUUACAGGCAGUUGUGAGCUGUCUGAUAUGGGUGCUGAGAGAUGAACUCAGGUUGUCUGUAAGAGCUUACAUACUCUUAACUAUCAAGCUGUUUCUCCAGUCCCUACAGAACUCAUUCUUUAAAAUUCUCUUUUAAGGGCAUUUCAUAGUUGAGUAAUGAAAGAAGGUGGGAUUAAGAUGUACAUGAAGUAAUUCUAAAGAUCAAGGGCAAACUGUCUCUAAGGCCUCCAUAUUGAGGCCUUAUCACAGUCCUGAAGCAUGGAUUUGGAGGUAGUCUAAAAGAUGGCUCACAGUGCACCAGCAGUUGACCAGGAGAUACUGAACUAGAAUCUGAGGACAGCACCAGGUGGUGCCUCAGCCUGCCCCUUGGUGACACUAAGCCAUGAAGUCUGACCUAAAAGAUGUCAGAGUGUAGUAUAGCAUACGAGUUUCUGUUUUUCUUACUAGUUACCAUAAUGGCAGAGGCCCACUGCAUUGUGGGAAGCCUCCCUGGACAAUCUCAUUGCAAGCUUAGGAGAUGAAUCUGUGCGGCUAACUAACAUGUUCCCUCAGCAGCCUCAGAGAGAGGCUCUCUAAUUCUAGACAAGCAGUAUUUAAUUUUAAGAAUGAUACCCUCUUUUCUCCUGUGAAGGCCAUUACUUUUUUCAGAAUGAACUUUUUGCCCAAGCUGGAAAAUAGGAAAUAAUUUAAUCAGAAGUGACAGAACUUGAUAUUAAAAAACCUUUAUAUUUUCAUCUGAAAUUGAAUACUUAUCCCAUUUCUAAAAUUGAAUUGCCUUAUUUACCAAGUUGAAAGAAAAUGAUUCCCUGUAGUGUUUAAGAUAUGUAGUGAUUACUAAAAAACAGCACUUAGAAAUG